Molecule: unclassified non-coding RNA, 351 nt
Filed under: Klebsiella pneumoniae subsp. pneumoniae
Lineage: Bacteria; Pseudomonadati; Pseudomonadota; Gammaproteobacteria; Enterobacterales; Enterobacteriaceae
Description: partial 16S-23S ribosomal RNA intergenic spacer
Rfam family: Salmonella enterica Typhi npcRNA 44 (bases 239-344)
Source: RNAcentral
CCUUAAAGAACCUGCCUUUGUAGUGCUCACACAGAUUGUCUGAUGAAAGUAGAGAAGCAAGGCGUCUUGCGAUUGAGACUUCAGUGUCCCCUUCGUCUAGAGGCCCAGGACACCGCCCUUUCACGGCGGUAACAGGGGUUCGAAUCCCCUAGGGGACGCCACUUGCUGGUUCGUGAGUGAAAGACGCGUGCCGAACUAUCUCAAAACUCAUCUUCGGGUGACGUUUGAGAUAUUUGCUCUUUAAAAAUCUGGAUCAAGCUGAAAAUUGAAACGACACACAGUUAAUGUGUGUUCGAGUCUCUCAAAUUUUCGCGACACGAUGAUGUUUUACGAAACAUCUUCGGGUUGUGA